GGGCCGGGGCAUGGCGGGAGGUUUGGGCCUCACCAGGGCGCCGGGGCCUUGGACCGCUCUGCGUCCCAUGUUCUCUGUCCCCGGGCGCCGUCCUCCCCGCCCCCGCGGCCUGUGGCACUGGGCUUGCGUCUGUGGCUCUUGGGCGCAGCGCCCUGCCCGCUCUACUGCGGCGUCUGGCGCGGAGGCGUGGCUUGGCCGGGCCCGCCCACUUCGCGUCCGCG
This 221-nucleotide long non-coding RNA is filed under the name Homo sapiens (human). Its description in RNAcentral is "HSALNT0049780". Lineage: Eukaryota; Metazoa; Chordata; Mammalia; Primates; Hominidae. The record is from RNAcentral.